Lontra canadensis (Northern American river otter) is the source of this 75-nucleotide small nucleolar RNA. RefSeq annotates it as small nucleolar RNA SNORD113/SNORD114 family. NCBI's taxonomy places the organism in Eukaryota, Metazoa, Chordata, Mammalia, Carnivora, Mustelidae. The record is from RefSeq and is a predicted model, not a curated record. The transcript has a single exon.
UGGGUAAAUGAUGACGAGUAGUGGCAUAAGGGUCUUGGGUGAUGAACAUCACAGGUCUGGAAUUCUGGGUUCCGA